Molecule: long non-coding RNA, 844 nt
Filed under: Olea europaea subsp. europaea
Lineage: Eukaryota; Viridiplantae; Streptophyta; Magnoliopsida; Lamiales; Oleaceae
Source: RNAcentral
CCCCAAUGAUCUUAUCCGGUGCGGGAAGCCUCUGUAUCUCACUCCCGACGCCAUAUGAGCCGACACACAGAACGUCCCCUCGAAAGAGAGAUGAACGCCGAAGCCACAUCUUAUGUGCAAGGGAGCCAACCAUGAGAAUCACAAUUGGGGGACAAUUUCUCUCAAGGAUACGGGGAACAAAGGUCGGCAAGCGUCUUCGACCAGAUAGGGUAGGACCCUAGCAAUAGGGUCCGUCCGAUGAGAAGAUCGGUUCGUCCAGAUCAGGAACAAGAACAUGCUCCUUUUCCUCCUCCUAGAAAUAGGAGGGACAGGAGGAACCUAGUUGAUUGGGGAAGUCGAGGAGAAGCACUUCCACUUCCCAAGAACAUUCAAGAUGAUGAAGGGUCAAAUGAGCCCUGUCGAUCUUAUGAGAUUAACGAUGAUGAUGAUAACCUCUCAUUCUCAAGAGAGAUCCGAAGCUUCCCAAUGCCAGCAACUUUCAUGCCCCUUAAGAUCCCCAAGUAUGAAGGAAAGGGAGACCCGGAGAAGCACCUCACCAAGUACAUGAUACAGAUGAGCCUAAGGGAAGCCUCGCCCGCUUUGAAAUGCAGAGCCUUCCAUGUAACACUAGGCGGGGCCGCCGAAGUAUGGUACAGCAGGCUUCCUCCCCUAAGCAUCAGAAGUUGGUCAGAUUUGAAGAAAGCAUUUUUGAACCAGUACCUCUCACGCAGGGAAGGAAAGGCAUCAGUGCAACGCCUGCAAGAUAUGAGGCAGGCCCCUGGGGAGACGCUGAAAAGCUAUCUCGCUAGGUUUACAGACGAAAUCACCUACUGUGAACAAGUCACUGACAGAGAAGCCCUUUCAG